Non-coding RNA from Picea glauca (white spruce), 121 nucleotides. The record is from Rfam. Lineage: Eukaryota; Viridiplantae; Streptophyta; Pinopsida; Pinales; Pinaceae.
GCAUGUCUACAACAUAGCGCUAAUGCAUCAGAUGCCAUUAGAAAUCCACAGUUAAACAUGCUUCGGAUAGAUUAGUAUUGGGAUGGGUGAUCGCCCAAGAAGUCCUAGUGUUUUACAUUCC